UUCCAACAUGGCGCAUGCUAUUGUUGAAGCAGGAACUAGUCUUCCCUGGAAGAAAUGCAUCCUUGCAGGGAAUGUUAGACAGUGCUGUUGGUAUUUCGGUGGGAUCUGCAAGGAUAGAACAAAGCAUGAUGAGAGGAAGAAGGAAUCUGCUCAAGCACAUGGAUGUUGUGAUGGAUGGUUGAACCACAGACACUUCACACAUGCUGUCUGAGUCCAGGAAUCUGUGUUCACAGAGGGAUCUGCAAGAAGACCAGCAAUAACAGUGGUGAUACUCAACAGCACGGCGACUGUGUUACUUAAUUCUUUACACAGGCUGCCUGGCCUCAAGUAUAUUUUGGACACUUCU
This is a long non-coding RNA of Mastomys coucha (southern multimammate mouse), 346 nucleotides long. RefSeq lists it as uncharacterized. The record is from RefSeq and is a predicted model, not a curated record. The transcript has 3 exons. NCBI's taxonomy places the organism in Eukaryota, Metazoa, Chordata, Mammalia, Rodentia, Muridae.